UCCUAUACAAAUAUGUGACCAUUUUUUGCCAAGGGUAGGCCUACCGAUCUAAAGGAUGUAUUACGUCAUUUGACAACAUUGUCCCAAAACCUGAAUUUAUACAAACUUUAUGAAUAAAACUGAAUGAGAAUACAUAGUAGGGAAAAUGGGAUACAUAUAAUAAGUCCCACGCAGAGGUACCAUCCUAAGCUAUGCCUUUAUGUACGGUC
Molecule: long non-coding RNA, 209 nt
Filed under: Solanum tuberosum (potato)
Lineage: Eukaryota; Viridiplantae; Streptophyta; Magnoliopsida; Solanales; Solanaceae
Description: long non-coding RNA (STUB_LNC008101)
Source: RNAcentral